RNAcentral lists this ribosomal RNA (376 nucleotides) under uncultured bacterium. RNAcentral's name for it is "bacterial SSU rRNA". It matches the Rfam family "Bacterial small subunit ribosomal RNA", at positions 524 to 898 of the family's 1533-position model. The record is from RNAcentral.
UACGUAGGGGGCAAGCGUUGUCCGGAAUGAUUGGGCGUAAAGGGCGCGUAGGCGGCCUGUUAAGUCUGGAGUGAAAGUCCUGCUUUCAAGGUGGGAAGUGCUUUGGAAACUGGCGGGCUGGAGUGCAGGAGAGGUUAGCGGAAUUCCCGGUGUAGCGGUGAAAUGCGUAGAGAUCGGGAGGAACACCAGUGGCGAAGGCGGCUAACUGGACUGUAACUGACGCUGAGGCGCGAAAGUGUGGGGAGCAAACAGGAUUAGAUACCCUGGUAGUCCACACUGUAAACGAUGAAUGCUAGGUGUAGGGGGUAUCGACCCCUUCUGUGCCGGAGUAAACACAAUAAGCAUUCCGCCUGGGGAGUACGGCCGCAAGGUUGAA